GCACAAGCGGUGGAGCAUGUGGUUUAAUUCGACGCAACGCGAAGAACCUUACCUGGGCUCGAAAUGUAGUGGACCGGGGUAGAAAUAUCCCUUCCUAGCAAUAGGCUGCUAUAUAGGUGCUGCAUGGCUGUCGUCAGCUCGUGUCGUGAGAUGUUGGGUUAAGUCCCGCAACGAGCGCAACCCUUAUUACCAGUUGCUACCAUUUAGUUGGGCACUCUGGUGAAACCGCCUCGGAUAACGGGGAGGAAGGUGGGGAUGACGUCAAGUCCUCAUGGCCUUUAUGUCCAGGGCUACACACGUGCUACAAUGGCCGGUACAAACCGUCGCAAACCCGUGAGGGGGAGCUAAUCGGAAAAAGCCGGCCUCAGUUCGGAUUGUAGUCUGCAACUCGACUACAUGAAGCUGGAAUCGCUAGUAAUCGCGGAUCAGAAUGCCGCGGUGAAUACGUUCCCGGGC
Molecule: ribosomal RNA, 456 nt
Filed under: uncultured bacterium
Lineage: Bacteria
Description: bacterial SSU rRNA
Rfam family: Bacterial small subunit ribosomal RNA
Source: RNAcentral